RNAcentral lists this long non-coding RNA (3471 nucleotides) under Oryctolagus cuniculus (rabbit). RNAcentral describes it as "lncRNA (ENSOCUG00000034107.1)". Lineage: Eukaryota; Metazoa; Chordata; Mammalia; Lagomorpha; Leporidae. The record is from RNAcentral.
GUUUUUCCUGCUAUGUUUUAUUAGGCAGAUAUAAAAUUAACAACACAGCAAUAAUUAUUUCCUAAACUGGUUCCAACACAAAUUUCCAAUUUGAGGUCAGAUGUAUUGCCUAAUAAAAUUUUUACAGCUGUAGUCAAAUUGUGGUAGUUAAUUCCUGGAAAAGACAAUUCUUAAUUCGCCAGAAUUAGUUUUAAGUCUUGAUUCAUCCCAUAAAGAUGAGUGUGUGUUAGUGCAGUUUAUACAAAAUGUUCAAAUAGUAAUAUCCAAUAUAAUAGCUUGCAUAAUUUCAGCUAAUUCAAUGUGAGAGGUAUUUGACCUGCUUAUACUUUCACUGAACCAUACAUCACAGCUUUAAGAUCACUGGGCCUGAUCUUUCUAAAUUACCCUUUGCGAACUGCGUUAAGUAUGGCUUAAUGCUACAUAGCUAAACACGGAAUCAUGUCAAGGAGGAGAGAAUAAUUAGAAUAUCCAUGAAGCAGGAUUCUAUUUAUACUCCAGGCAUUGGUUACUUCAAGACCUGUGCCUUAAUCACAGAUUCUGAGCCACUGCUCUGAAGUGCAAAAUCCACACACACACAUGUCCUUGCAGAAUUCAAAACUCGCCCUGCUCAGCGGCUCCGGGAGCACUUCUUCAAAAAUGCGAACAAGCAAGCAAGGAACAGUACUGCCAGCAAAUACCUACCACGCGGCCCGUGUGCCAGGCCUUCCUCAGGUGAACUUCUUCAUCCUCACAACAACACCAGCAGGCAGGAGGUUUUACUCAACUCACUUCAUAGUGUCUAACCCUUGCCAUUGCAUCAGCAAGGAUCUAGAAAAUUCUCCAGGGAUGAAAUCGACAGAUUUCUGGAAGAGGCCAACUUCUGCAAAACUCAUGCAGACCGACUUCUUGGUUUCUGAUGGGAGGAGGGAGGCUGACGAGCUCCCGGGCGGAUGGCGAGGCGCCUUUUGGAGGAGGAAGAGGGAGAGAAAGGGUCUCCAACAGCGAACCUUUGUCCUGGGAUGCAAAUGAGCCUGGGCCAAACAGAGCGCACACAAUGCCAGCUCCGUCCUCGGCGCGAACCGAUCCGUCUGCAGCGAUUUUGUUAACCCGAUGUUUCUGGCGUUCUUUCUCUUGCACAAAAUGCUUGAUGUUGACAGCUGUGAAUUUUAAACAACCAUUCUGUGUAUGUUUUUCUAAUUUUGUGUAUUCAGAUUGUUUCUCCACAUUGGGGUGGGGAUGGGGGCGGGGGGGGGGGUGAGGGUUGGAAGCCAAGAACCUUCCUUCCUUCAUUUAGAGAUUUCAUGCUUUUCCAAAGUUGGGGGCGUCCCAGCGAUGCUGACGGCUGAACAAAGUAGAACUUAAGUGUGCUCACCAGCAGCACUGGACACGUCCGGGGAGCGCAAAGGCAUGUGGGAGAUGGGAAAGCUUGGACAAGAUGACACGCUCAGGGGCUCAGAUGCACUCUGCUGGUCCCCGGGUAGGGAUGGGGGGCUGACCUUGUUUGUCCGCCCCCGUUUAUCUGUAAAAUGGGACUCCAGCAACCUGCUCAAAAGCUGGAAACAAAGACCUCCUCUAUCCAGGCCAUCAACCCAGUUUUAUUUCCCCUUCCCAGCUCCAAUUACGGCAUUCGGCAUUCGGGCAGCUGACCUGUGUCGGCUGGGAUAGCGGCGGUGCAAAGGCCCGGGUGUGCUUUUAAGCAUGAAGGGACACAGAAGAGCUCUCAGACGAAGGCCUGCAUUGACGAUACCAGGAUGGCUGCAUGAUUUUCUGAUUUACUUCUUUAUACCUUUGCUUCUUUGACAUAAAGCCGUCCACAACCCAAAACGCAAGUAAAGGAACACACACUCUGAACACACACACACACACAGAAAAGUUGCAAAGAAGGAAAUCAUAAGGCUCAUCAUGUUUGCACCCCACCCCCCACCCCGAGCUUUGAAAUCUGAGCCGGAGCUUCCUGGUAGCAAGAGUGAAAGAUGGAGGAUGACUAAUGUCAAGGGCUCACUUCCCCGGAGCGAGUGUACAUUUUUUCUGAGAGAGCAACUUUCCAAAUGCCUCAUUUUUAGGAAGUUUUAUACUCGGGGCUCCACAUAAGGGGACAAUGAGUAUAGAAGUUCAAUGUCAACUUGGAGAACAAAUGCAAUUGCAGGGUUCCCAGGGCAGAAGCAAAAAAAAAAAAAAAAAAAAAGGAAAACAAAUGGGCAUUUGUUCAUUUGUUGAGUGCCCACUGCAGUUGCAGGAGUCAAGGCCAUACUGAGGGUGGGGCAGAAGAGGCUGCAGUAGCUUGCAGCCCUAUGCUGUAGCCAGAGGGUGGAUGGCUGAACCAAACUUGUGGUUCUAACCUCGCCUAAAGAAAUGCAGCACCAGUGAGAAUGAGUGGCCUUGUGGGGUGUGACUUGAUGCAGACAGGCCUCCAGGGACCCGGUGGGGUAGAUGCCAAUGAAAUGUGCCUGCAUGACAGUUUCCUUAGCUGGGGCUCCGGAGGAACUGGAAGGCUAAUGGGGGUGGCGGUGGGGUCCUAUGGGUUACUUUGAGGACAAGUGAGCAGAUGUUGGAACUGACAGCCUGACCCGGAUAAACCUAACCUAUAAUGGUACUAGAAUCAGGGCCAUGCCUCUCCACCCAGGCAGGGCCCACAUAUGCUUAUUAUUAUUUUUUAGCAAUUGUGAAAUAUUUAUUUCUGCAGGAUAGACCUUAAAGGAACUCCACUUUCUGUCUUUUACAUUUCUGUAUUGUUGGAACUCAUAACACAUAUUACAUUCAUAAACAGAAAAGAGUGUCUAGAUUAUUUUAAGACAAUAUGUAGGUUAUUUUCAAACAGUCGGUUCCUUUCCCUUUAUCUUUUUACCACAAAUUGUGAUAAUUCAUCAAGGCUACCCCUCAGAGCUCAACGGUGCCAAAAUGUGAUGUAUAGGAACUCAUCUCACUGGAUUCCAAAUAUCCAGAAUGGUUUCGCUCAGCCACACUUGGAAAGGAGCAGGUGACAAGAAAACAAGUUUGGGAGAGACUGAAGCGGCCACAAGUGUUCUAUGGCUCCUGAGGAGCCACCCCUAUCUCACUCACAUCAAAGAACCUGCACCUCUGCAGGAUAACAGCCAGUGUGGUAGCCCAAAGCCCUUCUGGCUCCCCCACCAUAAAAAAACAAGUCUUGGUGCCCGAAUUAUUGGGUAUCCCAUGUCAGGGUGCCAGUUCAAGUCCCAGCUGCUCUGCUUCCAAUCCAGCUCCCUGCUAAUGUGCCAAAAAGCAGCAGAAGAUGGGUGCUUGGGCCCCCGCCACCCACGAGGGAGGAACCUGGUGGAAUUUAAGGCUCCUGGCUUUGACCUUGCCCAGCCCCAACUGCUGCAGCCAUCUGGGUGGUGAACAGUGCAUGGAUGGAAUCUCUCUGUCUUUCCUCCCACUCCCGUCACUCUACCUUUCAAAUCAAUACAUUUUUUAAUCUUAAAAACAUUCAUUUGGCUAAUAAUAAAAGCAGGAAAUGCAUGAAGGGAGUCCUCA